UCCUACGGGAGGCAGCAGUAGGGAAUAUUGCACAAUGGGCGAAAGCCUGAUGCAGCAACGCCGCGUGUGCGAUGAAGGCCUUCGGGUCGUAAAGCACUUUUCUGGGAGAUGAGAAAGGACAGUAUCUCAGGAAUAAGUCUCGGCUAACUACGUGCCAGCAGCCGCGGUAAAAUGUAGGAGGCAAGCGUUAUCCGGAUUCACUGGGCGUAAAGCGCGUGCAGGUGGCUGGUAAGUUAGGCGUGAAAUCUCCCGGCUCAACUGGGAGAGGUCGUCUAAUACUACCAGGCUUGAGAGCAGAAGAGGAAGAUGGAAUUCCCGGUGUAGUGGUGAAAUGCGUAGAUAUCGGGAGGAACACCAGUGGCGAAGGCGAUCUUCUGGUCUGUUUCUGACACUCAGACGCGACAGCUAGGGUAGUAAACGGGAUUAGAGACCCCGGUAAUCCUAGCCGUAAACGAUGUGAACUUGGCGUUGGUGGGUUAAACUCCAUCAGUGCCGAAGCAAACGCGAUAAGUUCACCGCCUGGGGACUACGGCCGCAAGGUUAAAAUUCAAAGGAAUUGACGGGGGCCCGCACAAGCAGCGGAGCGUGUGGUUUAAUUCGAUGCUACACGAAGAACCUUACCCAGGCUUGACAUACAGGUGGUAGGGAUCCGAAAGGUGACCGACCCGCAAGGGAGCCUGAACAGGUGUUGCAUGGCUGUCGUCAGCUCGUGUCGUGAGAUGUUCGGUUAAGUCCGCUAACGAGCGCAACCCUCGUCGCGUGUUAUACGUGUCACGCGAGACCGCCGGUAUUAAGCCGGAGGAAGGUGGGGAUGACGUCAAGUCAGCAUGGCCUUUAUGCCUGGGGCUACACACACGCUACAAUGGGCAGUACAAUGGGUUGCUAAGCCGCGAGGUGGAGCCAAUCCCCCAAAACUGUCCUCAGUUCAGAUUGCAGGCUGCAACUCGCCUGCAUGAAGCCGGAGUUGCUAGUAAACGCGCGUCAGCUAUAGUGCGUUGAAUACGUUCUCGGGCCUUGUACCACCGCCAU
Molecule: ribosomal RNA, 1029 nt
Filed under: uncultured Anaerolineae bacterium
Lineage: Bacteria; Bacillati; Chloroflexota; Anaerolineae
Description: bacterial SSU rRNA
Rfam family: Bacterial small subunit ribosomal RNA
Source: RNAcentral